This 220-nucleotide small RNA is filed under the name Vigna angularis var. angularis. RNAcentral describes it as "Non-protein coding transcript". Lineage: Eukaryota; Viridiplantae; Streptophyta; Magnoliopsida; Fabales; Fabaceae. The record is from RNAcentral.
GCCUUAAGCAAGUGGCAGAUGUGGCCUUUGAAGCUUGGGAAUCAGAUUGCUCCUAAAAGACCUGGACCUGCAGAAGAGGUUAACGUGACAAACCAGAGUACAAGUCUCCCAUGGGAAGAAGUGUAUAUAUUUCUUAUUCAAUUAUUCCUCAAACAGAAUUGUCUCUGAAAGAAAAUAGACUUUGGACUUGCAUUCACUAACAAGAGUAAGACUGUAAUCG